AUUGAACGCUGGCGGCAUGCCUUACACAUGCAAGUCGAACGGUAACGGGCCUUCGGGUGCCGACGAGUGGCGAACGGGUGAGUAAUACAUCGGAACGUGCCCGAUCGUGGGGGAUAACGAGGCGAAAGCUUUGCUAAUACCGCAUACGAUCUACGGCUGACAGCAGGGGACCGCAAGGCCUUGCGCGGACGGAGCGGCCGAUGGCAGAUUAGGUAGUUGGUGGGAUAAAAGCUUACCAAGCCGACGAUCUGUAGCUGGUCUGAGAGGAUGAUCAGCCACACUGGGACUGAGACACGGCCCAGACUCCUACGGGAGGCAGCAGUGGGGAAUUUUGGACAAUGGGCGCAAGCCUGAUCCAGCCAUGCCGCGUGCAGGAUGAAGGCCUUCGGGUUGUAAACUGCUUUUGUACGGAACGAAAAGCCUUCUUUUAAUACAGGAGGGUCAUGACGGUACCGUAAGAAUAAGCACCGGCUAACUACGUG
This 482-nucleotide ribosomal RNA is filed under the name uncultured bacterium. RNAcentral's name for it is "partial 16S ribosomal RNA". It matches the Rfam family "Bacterial small subunit ribosomal RNA", at positions 30 to 507 of the family's 1533-position model. The record is from RNAcentral.